CCCAGGGUAGCCUAGUGGACAUGGCAUCUGCCCGGUAAUCGGAACACUGAGGUUCGAUUCCCAUCCCUGGAC
Molecule: transfer RNA, 72 nt
Filed under: Cordylochernes scorpioides
Lineage: Eukaryota; Metazoa; Arthropoda; Arachnida; Pseudoscorpiones; Chernetidae
Description: tRNA-Thr
Source: RNAcentral